UAAAGACACUGUUAGACUUUGACCAAGUUUCUCAUAGUGUUUCCAAUUGAAAAUGCCUGGCUCCUGCAAAUCCAAAUCAUAAAAUCUGGGCUAUGCACUUUUGUGCUCUCAGGAAAAUGAAGAUUUCAGUCUACGAAGGACUGCAGCCGAUGAGUGUUGGACAAAAAGCAGGUCUAGGCUGUCUAAAGACCCAGUAAAAACAGCUGCCAAAUAAGCACAGCGAUUCUUUCCAGGACAAAGGACUCCACAUUCCUGCUAUUGCUGCUCAGAGGUUUGCAGGUCCCCAAGGAGACAAGUGGCAGCAUCAAGAGAGAACCAAGAAACUAACUUUUUGAAGAAGGAGGGAGUGAUCUCAACAAGUAAGAAGAAAUCUAAAGGCUUGACUACACAGACCAAAGAAAGAUGGAAAGAGAUAAAUUAAUUUGAUGUGGAACCUCUCUUUUGCAAAUGGAAACAUUAUGUUAAGAAAAUUAUCUGCAAACUCACCCCCCCCCCCCCAAUACAAUUUUUAAAACACCUGUAAAACCAUAUUGCACAGAGGAUGGCAAUGGCAAACCCACUCUGAAGAAACUUGCCAAGAAAACCUGAUGACACGUUCCUCUUAGUGUCGCCACAAGUCAGAAACGACAUAACAACAACAAAAAAAAUCGUAUUGGGACAUAUCUGUAAGAGAGAUCAGAAAUAUGUAAGUUUUUUUUUUAAAAAAAAUCUAAUUCCUUAUCAUUUCCUUCUGGUAUGUAUGUGUUUAUACUGUAUAUCUAGUCCUUCUGUCUGUGUCUGUCUGUCUGUCUGUCUCUCUAUCUAUUGGUCUACCUACCUACCUACCUACCUACCUAUCUGCCUGAAUAGGUUCUAAUUUGUAUUAUGAUGUUUCUAUAUUUUUCUAAAGGAGAUUUCUUCCCUAUUCAGACAUCGUGAGAGCAAACGAACAAGAAAAUGCAAAAAAGGUCACUCAUUCCCCAUGGCACCAGGAGACUUCCCUGAAGGAAUUCAUGUUCUCACUUAUGUGGAACAUUAGUUCAGCUGCUUGUGCUGUAAUCUCUCACAGUUAUUUUCAGGAGGCACUUGUGAGAACUUGAGGGCGCAUGGUAUUAGAUGGAUGGGUAGAUAAAUGAUAGAUGGAUAGAUAGUUUUAUUUUUUAAAAUAUGACGAACUAGUUAUUAUCAUAAUCAUUAUUAUAUUUAUGUA
Molecule: long non-coding RNA, 1189 nt
Organism: Sceloporus undulatus (fence lizard)
Lineage: Eukaryota; Metazoa; Chordata; Lepidosauria; Squamata; Phrynosomatidae
Exons: 5
Source: RefSeq, a predicted model, not a curated record